UGUGUGUGUGUGUGUGUGUGUGUGUGUGUGUGUGUGUUUUAAUUGCCAGUCCGGCCAGCUGGUGUCUGUCUCUGUCUCUGUCUCUGUCUCUCUCUCAUUCACACUCACACACACACACACACACAUU
RNAcentral lists this microRNA precursor (127 nucleotides) under Marmota monax (woodchuck). The record is from RNAcentral. Lineage: Eukaryota; Metazoa; Chordata; Mammalia; Rodentia; Sciuridae.